This 88-nucleotide transfer RNA is filed under the name Lachnospiraceae bacterium. Its description in RNAcentral is "tRNA-Ser". It matches the Rfam family "tRNA". Rfam says of the family: Transfer RNA (tRNA) molecules are approximately 80 nucleotides in length. The record is from RNAcentral. Lineage: Bacteria; Bacillati; Bacillota; Clostridia; Lachnospirales; Lachnospiraceae.
GGAGCUGUACCCAAGUGGUAAAGGGGGCGGUUUGCUAAACCGCUAGGCCAGUAAUGGUGCGUGAGUUCGAACCUCACCGGCUCCGCCA